RNAcentral lists this ribosomal RNA (500 nucleotides) under uncultured bacterium. Its description in RNAcentral is "partial 16S ribosomal RNA". It matches the Rfam family "Bacterial small subunit ribosomal RNA", at positions 30 to 523 of the family's 1533-position model. The record is from RNAcentral.
AUUGAACGCUGGCGGAAUGCUUCACACAUGCAAGUCGAACGGCAGCACGGACUUCGGUCUGGUGGCGAGUGGCGAACGGGUGAGUAAUGUAUCGGAACGUGCCCAGUCGUGGGGGAUAACGUAGUGAAAAUUACGCUAAUACCGCAUACGAUCUAUGGAUGAAAGCGGGGGAUCGCAAGACCUCGCGCGAUUGGAGCGGCCGAUAUCAGAUUAGGUAGUUGGUGGGGUAAAGGCCCACCAAGCCAACGAUCUGUAGCUGGUCUGAGAGGACGACCAGCCACACUGGAACUGGGACACGGUCCAGACUCCUACGGGAGGCAGCAGUGGGGAAUUUUGGACAAUGGGCGAAAGCCUGAUCCAGCCAUUCCGCGUGGAGGAUGAAGGCCCUCGGGUUGUAAACUGCUUUUGUACAGAACGAAAAGGUUUCUACUAAUACUAGGAGCUCAUGACGGUACUGUAAGAAUAAGCACCGGCUAACUACGUGCCAGCAGCCGCCGUAA